UUAAGCGACUAAGCGUACACGGUGGAUGCCCGCAGUCAGAGGCGAUGAAGGACGUGCUAAUCUGCGAUAAGCGUCGGUGAGGUGAUAUGAACCGUUAUAACCGGCGAUUUCCGAAUGGGGAAACCCAGUGUGUUUCGACACACUAUCAUUAACUGAAUCCAUAGGUUAAUGAGGCGAACCGGGGGAACUGAAACAUCUAAGUACCCCGAGGAAAAGAAAUCAACCGAGAUUCCCCCAGUAGCGGCGAGCGAACGGGGAGGAGCCCAGAGCCUGAAUCAGUGUGUGUGUUAGUGGAAGCGUCUGGAAAGGCGCGCGAUACAGGGUGACAGCCCCGUACACAAAAAUGCACAUAUUGUGAGCUCGAUGAGUAGGGCGGGACACGUGGUAUCCUGUCUGAAUAUGGGGGGACCAUCCUCCAAGGCUAAAUACUCCUGACUGACCGAUAGUGAACCAGUACCGUGAGGGAAAGGCGAAAAGAACCCCGGCGAGGGGAGUGAAAAAGAACCUGAAACCGUGUACGUACAAGCAGUGGGAGCCUCUUAAUGGGGUGACUGCGUACCUUUGUAUAAUGGGUCAGCGACUUAUAUUCUGUAGCAAGGUUAACCGAAUAGGGGAGCCGAAGGAAACCGAGUCUUAACUGGGCGUUAAGUUGCAGGGUAUAGACCCGAAACCCGGUGAUUCAGCCAUGGGCAGGUUGAAGGUUGGGUAACACUAACUGGAGGACCGAACCGACUAAUGUUGAAAAAUUAGCGGAUGACUUGUGGCUGGGGGUGAAAGGCCAAUCAAACCGGGAGAUAGCUGGUUCUCCCGAAAGCUAUUUAGGUAGCGCCUCGUGAAUUCAUCUCCGGGGUAGAGCACUGUUUCGGCAAGGGGGUCAUCCCGACUUACCAACCCGAUGCAAACUGCGAAUACCGGAGAAUGUUAUCACGGGAGACACACGGCGGGUGCUAACGUCCGUCGUGAAGAGGGAAACAACCCAGACCGCCAGCUAAGGUCCCAAAGUCAUGGUUAAGUGGGAAACGAUGUGGGAAGGCCCAGACAGCCAGGAUGUUGGCUUAGAAGCAGCCAUCAUUUAAAGAAAGCGUAAUAGCUCACUGGUCGAGUCGGCCUGCGCGGAAGAUGUAACGGGGCUAAACCAUGCACCGAAGCUGCGGCAGCGACACUAUGUGUUGUUGGGUAGGGGAGCGUUCUGUAAGCCUGUGAAGGUGGCCUGUGAGGGUUGCUGGAGGUAUCAGAAGUGCGAAUGCUGACAUAAGUAACGAUAAAGCGGGUGAAAAGCCCGCUCGCCGGAAGACCAAGGGUUCCUGUCCAACGUUAAUCGGGGCAGGGUGAGUCGACCCCUAAGGCGAGGCCGAAAGGCGUAGUCGAUGGGAAACAGGUUAAUAUUCCUGUACUUGGUGUUACUGCGAAGGGGGGACGGAGAAGGCUAUGUUGGCCGGGCGACGGUUGUCCCGGUUUAAGCGUGUAGGCUGGUUUUCCAGGCAAAUCCGGAAAAUCAAGGCUGAGGCGUGAUGACGAGGCACUACGGUGCUGAAGCGACAAAUGCCCUGCUUCCAGGAAAAGCCUCUAAGCAUCAGGUAACAUCAAAUCGUACCCCAAACCGACACAGGUGGUCAGGUAGAGAAUACCAAGGCGCUUGAGAGAACUCGGGUGAAGGAACUAGGCAAAAUGGUGCCGUAACUUCGGGAGAAGGCACGCUGAUAUGUAGGUGAAGCGACUUGCUCGUGGAGCUGAAAUCAGUCGAAGAUACCAGCUGGCUGCAACUGUUUAUUAAAAACACAGCACUGUGCAAACACGAAAGUGGACGUAUACGGUGUGACGCCUGCCCGGUGCCGGAAGGUUAAUUGAUGGGGUUAGCGGUAACGCGAAGCUCUUGAUCGAAGCCCCGGUAAACGGCGGCCGUAACUAUAACGGUCCUAAGGUAGCGAAAUUCCUUGUCGGGUAAGUUCCGACCUGCACGAAUGGCGUAAUGAUGGCCAGGCUGUCUCCACCCGAGACUCAGUGAAAUUGAACUCGCUGUGAAGAUGCAGUGUACCCGCGGCAAGACGGAAAGACCCCGUGAACCUUUACUAUAGCUUGACACUGAACAUUGAGCCUUGAUGUGUAGGAUAGGUGGGAGGCUUUGAAGUGUGGACGCCAGUCUGCAUGGAGCCGACCUUGAAAUACCACCCUUUAAUGUUUGAUGUUCUAACGUGGGCCCCUUACCGGGGUUGCGGACAGUGUCUGGUGGGUAGUUUGACUGGGGCGGUCUCCUCCUAAAGAGUAACGGAGGAGCACGAAGGUUGGCUAAUCCUGGUCGGACAUCAGGAGGUUAGUGCAAUGGCAUAAGCCAGCUUGACUGCGAGCGUGACGGCGCGAGCAGGUGCGAAAGCAGGUCAUAGUGAUCCGGUGGUUCUGAAUGGAAGGGCCAUCGCUCAACGGAUAAAAGGUACUCCGGGGAUAACAGGCUGAUACCGCCCAAGAGUUCAUAUCGACGGCGGUGUUUGGCACCUCGAUGUCGGCUCAUCACAUCCUGGGGCUGAAGUAGGUCCCAAGGGUAUGGCUGUUCGCCAUUUAAAGUGGUACGCGAGCUGGGUUUAGAACGUCGUGAGACAGUUCGGUCCCUAUCUGCCGUGGGCGCUGGAGAACUGAGGGGGGCUGCUCCUAGUACGAGAGGACCGGAGUGGACGCAUCACUGGUGUUCGGGUUGUCAUGCCAAUGGCACUGCCCGGUAGCUAAAUGCGGAAGAGAUAAGUGCUGAAAGCAUCUAAGCACGAAACUUGCCCCGAGAUGAGUUCUCCCUGACUCCUUGAGAGUCCUGAAGGAACGUUGAAGACGACGACGUUGAUAGGCCGGGUGUGUAAGCGCAGCGAUGCGUUGAGCUAACCGGUACUAAUGAACCGUGAGGCUUAACCU
Molecule: ribosomal RNA, 2895 nt
Filed under: Escherichia coli
Lineage: Bacteria; Pseudomonadati; Pseudomonadota; Gammaproteobacteria; Enterobacterales; Enterobacteriaceae
Description: 23S ribosomal RNA
Rfam family: Bacterial large subunit ribosomal RNA
Source: RNAcentral